RNAcentral lists this ribosomal RNA (243 nucleotides) under Triticum aestivum (bread wheat). RNAcentral describes it as "partial small subunit ribosomal RNA". Lineage: Eukaryota; Viridiplantae; Streptophyta; Magnoliopsida; Poales; Poaceae. The record is from RNAcentral.
AUGUCCUCCUCCAGCUCGAGUUCCUUCUCUGGCCUAAACAACAAUACCUCUGAACCCUUGAGCCGCACCAACUACAUCCUAUGGCGUGCCCAGGCUCGCUCUCAGAUCAUGGGGGCUGGCCUGUAUGGAUACCUAGAUGAAACAAACCCCGAGCCCUCCAAAACAAUUACAGCAAAAAACUCUGAAGGUAAGGAACAGCUUGUUCCGAAUCCUGCCUACACCCCUUGGUUAAUCCAAGACCAA